UGAGACUGCAAACCAAGUCUACUGAGACCCACAUUACAUCAUUACCAUUAUGUGGUGUGCUACACACUAAUCAUAACCAUUACCUCUUACAAAUCUACAGGUUCAUGCAAUUAGUUGCCUGACAUGGAUUUUAUAGUUAAUUCAUGGUGAAGGUCGGCGGUCGGCAGAGUGGCAGUUUUCUGCAAGACUUAGUACCCACGAGUCUAAAUCUGGGCUUCACGAGAUACAUUCCUGACUACCUUGCUGCGAGGGGCACUCCGCCUGCAAUAGCGCUGCUUCACAUAGAGCUCCGGAACGCAUAAGGACUGAAGAUACUCACUUCUGAAUGUCCCGGAUGCCAAUCUCUACCUUUUCCAGCUGUGCUUCUGAGCUGAUCUUCUCCUUGGGCACACACUGGGAUGCCGAGC
RNAcentral lists this long non-coding RNA (407 nucleotides) under Chinchilla lanigera (long-tailed chinchilla). RNAcentral's name for it is "lncRNA (ENSCLAG00000028777.1)". The record is from RNAcentral. Lineage: Eukaryota; Metazoa; Chordata; Mammalia; Rodentia; Chinchillidae.